CCGCAAGGUGGAGCUAAUCCCAGAAAGCCAGUCCCAGUUCGGAUUGCAGUCUGCAACUCGACUGCAUGAAGUUGGAAUCGCUAGUAAUCGCGGAUCAGCACGCCGCGGUGAAUACGUUCCCGGGCCUUGUACACACCGCCCGUCACAUCACGAAAGCCGGCUGUACUAGAAGUCGCCGAGCCAACCCGUAAGGGGGGCAAGCGCCCACGGUAUGGUCGGUGAUUGGGGUGAAGUCGUAACAAGGUAGCCGUA
RNAcentral lists this ribosomal RNA (252 nucleotides) under uncultured bacterium. Its description in RNAcentral is "partial 16S ribosomal RNA". It matches the Rfam family "Bacterial small subunit ribosomal RNA", at positions 1255 to 1504 of the family's 1533-position model. The record is from RNAcentral.